RNAcentral lists this long non-coding RNA (250 nucleotides) under Setaria italica (foxtail millet). Its description in RNAcentral is "long non-coding RNA (SITA_LNC004963)". Lineage: Eukaryota; Viridiplantae; Streptophyta; Magnoliopsida; Poales; Poaceae. The record is from RNAcentral.
CUUGAAAGUAAUGUUGCAGCUUUCGUGAAGUGAGCAGAAUUGCAUAUAGGAGUUUUUGUAUCGGCGAGUACCGAGUUUUGGAGUCCAAGAGUACUUCACUGACGAAGUAUACAGGUCUUUGGACUUUGUAAACAUGGCCUGGCUCAGACCGUUCGACUACUAUUGCCGUGCUGAUGACGUGAGUAGUAGCUUCUAUGUAUAGGAACAAGUCCUCGUUUGGAGAUGGAGCAGUGAGGAUUGGAGGUUUUGA